UCCUCGGCGUCGUCCGACAAUGCUAUGGAACGCGUCUUCUCCAAGUCGAGUCCCCACCGCCAGCGCCCAGGGUGACGCGGAUGCAGGGCAGGACAGGCAGGAUCUCAUCAUGCCGGUGAACGCAAACACCAUUCUUACAUCAUAAAGGGCAGUUAGGUGCUCUGGUGUCUUGAUAAGCUAUGGGGAUCCCAAAGAUGAAAACUUGAUCCUAGGGAUCUCAAAAGAAGGUCUAAUAUCUUGUGUGAACAAAUAAGUCAGAUGAUUUCUUUGUUUGUGUAAUUCCAUUUUCUCAUGGCGUCUCCCAUUCAAAAGGUAACUAGCAUUGAAUCUUUACAUUGUUU
Molecule: long non-coding RNA, 341 nt
Organism: Lolium rigidum
Lineage: Eukaryota; Viridiplantae; Streptophyta; Magnoliopsida; Poales; Poaceae
Exons: 3
Source: RefSeq, a predicted model, not a curated record